GUAGGCUGCAACUCGCCUACAUGAAGUUGGAGUUGCUAGUAAUCGCGAAUCAGAAUGUCGCGGUGAAUGCGUUCCCGGGUCUUGUACACACCGCCCGUCACACCAUGGGAGUCGGAAAUGCCCGAAGUCAGUGACCCAACCGUAAGGAGGGAGCUGCCGAAGGUGGAGCCGGUAACUGGGGUGAAGUCGUAACAAGGUAGC
This 201-nucleotide ribosomal RNA is filed under the name uncultured bacterium. Its description in RNAcentral is "partial 16S ribosomal RNA". It matches the Rfam family "Bacterial small subunit ribosomal RNA", at positions 1300 to 1500 of the family's 1533-position model. The record is from RNAcentral.